RNAcentral lists this long non-coding RNA (365 nucleotides) under Homo sapiens (human). The record is from RNAcentral. Lineage: Eukaryota; Metazoa; Chordata; Mammalia; Primates; Hominidae.
GUCAGUUACAAAUAUGGCGUUUUGGACGGGCUCGAUAGUUUGCUUGGCCUCUACUCAAGCAAGCUGCCCUGUUGUGAGCUCUCCGGUGGAGAGCCCCACAUGGCAAGAAAAUGAGAAGCCCCCUGAACAGACAAGAGCUGAGGCCCAGGAUACAAUAUCCUGAAAAAAACUGAAUCCUGCUGACAGUUGCCCAAGUGAAGCUGGAAGUGGAUCUUUCUGCAGUGGAUCCUUGAGAUGACUGUAGCCCUGGCUGACAACUUGAUUGCUGCCUGUGAAGGACCCUGAACCAGAGGACUCAGCGAAAUUGUGCCCAGAUUCCUGACCUACAGAGGCAGUGAGAUAAUAAAUGCUGUUGAGGUCACAAA